GAUGAAGAACGUAGCGAAAUGCGAUAAGUAAUGUGAAUUGCAGAAUUCAGUGAAUCAUCGAAUCUUUGAACGCACAUUGCGCCCAUUAGUAUUCUAGUGGGCAUGCCUGUUCGAGCGUCAUUAAGUCCACUUAAGCCCUGCUUAGUGUUGGGAGACUGCUCCAGCGGUGCUACCCUGAAGCUACCCUGCAGCUCCUCAAAGACAGCGGCGGAGUUGUGGUAUCCUCUGAGCUUAGUAACUUGUUCUAGCUUUCGAGUACACCACUUCCCCUGCCGUAAAACCCUUAAUUUUUAAUGGUUGACCUCGGAUCAGGUAGGAAUACCCGCUGAACUUAAGCAUAUCAAUAAGCGGAGGA
RNAcentral lists this unclassified non-coding RNA (355 nucleotides) under soil metagenome. RNAcentral describes it as "partial contains 5.8S ribosomal RNA, internal transcribed spacer 2, and large subunit ribosomal RNA". The stretch from base 1 to 120 matches the Rfam family "5.8S ribosomal RNA", at positions 35 to 154 of the family's 154-position model. The record is from RNAcentral.